CACGAAGACUAUUAUGACUCGUACGGUAGUCAUGUCAUGGAAUUUAUAAGAUUUCUCGUACGUGGAUCUACAAUCAUCAAAUACUUUCAAGCCAUGUGUUGCCAAUACGUCCUGUAUGACUCGUAGUGUCCAUGAGAUGAACUUUUCACGGAAGGUCAAACUUGGUCUACCGCCUUUGAAUCUUUGGCAAGAAGCGAGGACAUAUUUUCUUCGUCGGGGGGAAAAACGAAAAUCGCUACGUUACACCGUAAACUCAUUCCGUGUGAUGAUUAUGUAUGUCAAAAGUUAUUCUGUGAAACGAUCAGAUGAGCGAUUCUGAUUAUAGUGAUGGAAUAAAAAAAAAAGUGUACAGACUGCUUGACUCAUUGAAAGGAAGUAAGAAAUGUAAAAAUAAACAACAUAUGUAUAUAUAGAAUGAAUUAUUUUUUAUUGAUCAAUGUUUACUAUUAUUGGCUUUUCUCGUUUCUGUGUUUUAAUCGAAUCGUUUAUGUACUCGUAUUUUUUGUGGCAUUAAAAAUAAAUUUAACCACGCCGCACAUUUACAUGUAUCUACGUAUUUUUCGAGGUGUUAACAAAGAAAUAUUUAAUCACGCUAAACAUUUAUACACUACGCAACUAUUUUCCUUACUCACAUCGUAUGUUUUUUUGUGACGUUAAAAAAAUACUCAACCAUGUCAUAAAUAUAUACUCCAUGUCAAUAUUUCAUUCUUGUUUACUUCUUUUGUGCAAUAAACUCCAUUAGUUUUCAAAA
Saccoglossus kowalevskii is the source of this 751-nucleotide long non-coding RNA. RefSeq lists it as uncharacterized. NCBI's taxonomy places the organism in Eukaryota, Metazoa, Hemichordata, Enteropneusta, Harrimaniidae. The record is from RefSeq and is a predicted model, not a curated record.